UACGGAGGGGGCUAGCGUUGUUCGGAAUUACUGGGCGUAAAGCGUGCGCAGGCGGUUUUGUAAGUCUGUCGUGAAAUCCCCGGGCUCAACCUGGGAAUGGCGAUGGAGACUGCAAGGCUGGAAUCUGGCAGAGGGGGGUAGAAUUCCACGUGUAGCAGUGAAAUGCGUAGAGAUGUGGAGGAACACCGAUGGCGAAGGCAGCCCCCUGGGCUAAGAUUGACGCUCAUGCACGAAAGCGUGGGGAGCAAACAGG
This 253-nucleotide ribosomal RNA is filed under the name uncultured bacterium. RNAcentral describes it as "partial 16S ribosomal RNA". It matches the Rfam family "Bacterial small subunit ribosomal RNA", at positions 524 to 776 of the family's 1533-position model. The record is from RNAcentral.